RNAcentral lists this ribosomal RNA (254 nucleotides) under uncultured bacterium. RNAcentral describes it as "partial 16S ribosomal RNA". It matches the Rfam family "Bacterial small subunit ribosomal RNA", at positions 524 to 776 of the family's 1533-position model. The record is from RNAcentral.
UACGUAGGGGGCGAGCGUUGUCCGGAAUGACUGGGCGUAAAGGGUGCGUAGGCGGCUUGGCAAGUUAGAAGUGAAAUACCUAGGGCUUAACUCAGGUGCUGCUUUUAAAACUGCUGGGCUGGAGUGCAGGAGAGGUUAAUGGAAUUCCUAGUGUAGCGGUGGAAUGCGUAGAUAUUAGGAGGAACAUCAGUGGCGAAGGCGGCUUACUGGACGGUAACUGACGUUGAGGCUCGAAAGCGUGGGGAGCAAACAGG